GACAAACUAAUAAGAUAGGUACCUAAUAUUGACAUAUUGGUUUCAUUUCUUUGUCACUUGCAAGUACUAAAUAUUAAAACAUCAGCUUUUAUCAGACAUCAAAAAUUAAGUAUGUAGGUAAGUAUAACUACAAUUACAAAUUUUUAAGUGCAUUUUUUUAUGAGGUGCAUGAUGUGAGAGUCUAUUUAUAUUCAUUAUUUUGUAUAAAUCAAUCAUACCAAAAGAGAAAUUAAAGAAAAAAUUGUUUUG
Molecule: non-coding RNA, 249 nt
Organism: Cinara cedri
Lineage: Eukaryota; Metazoa; Arthropoda; Insecta; Hemiptera; Aphididae
Source: the annotation of a GenBank genome assembly